RNAcentral lists this ribosomal RNA (497 nucleotides) under uncultured bacterium. RNAcentral's name for it is "partial 16S ribosomal RNA". It matches the Rfam family "Bacterial small subunit ribosomal RNA", at positions 28 to 507 of the family's 1533-position model. The record is from RNAcentral.
GAUGAACGCUGGCGGCGUGCCUAAUACAUGCAAGUCGAGCGAACAGACGAGGAGCUUUCUCCUCUGACGUUAGCGGCGGACGGGUGAGUAACACGUGGAUAACCUACCUAUAAGACUGGGAUAACUUCGGGAAACCGGAGCUAAUACCGGAUAAUAUAUUGAACCGCAUGGUUCAAUAGUGAAAGACGGUUUUGCUGUCACUUAUAGAUGGAUCCGCGCCGCAUUAGCUAGUUGGUAAGGUAACGGCUUACCAAGGCAACGAUGCGUAGCCGACCUGAGAGGGUGAUCGGCCACACUGGAACUGAGACACGGUCCAGACUCCUACGGGAGGCAGCAGUAGGGAAUAUUCCGCAAUGGGCGAAAGCCUGACGGAGCAACGCCGCGUGAGUGAUGAAGGUCUUCGGAUCGUAAAACUCUGUUAUUAGGGAAGAACAAAUGUGUAAGUAACUAUGCACGUCUUGACGGUACCUAAUCAGAAAGCCACGGCUAACUACGUG